UACAGGGGGUGCAAACGUUGCUCGGAAUCAUUGGGCGUAAAGCGCACGUAGGCGGUCUGUUAUGUCGGAUGUGAAAGCCCUUGGCUCAACUGAGGAAGUGCAUCCGAAACUGGCAGGCUAGAGUACUAAAGAGGAUCGCGGAAUUCCCGGUGUAGAGGUGAAAUUCGUAGAUAUUCGGAAGAACACCAGUGGCGAAGGCGGCUCACUGGACCGGUAUUGACGCUGAGGUGCGAAAGCGUGGGGAGCAAACAGG
Molecule: ribosomal RNA, 253 nt
Filed under: uncultured bacterium
Lineage: Bacteria
Description: partial 16S ribosomal RNA
Rfam family: Bacterial small subunit ribosomal RNA
Source: RNAcentral